AAAGUACGAUGGCUCACUAUCUGGAAGUCUGCUACAGAUAAGUAUACUGGUAGGGUGGCUAACUAGGCGCAAUCCCCUUACCUCGCUCAACUGAUGGUGCACCUAUCCCUGAAAAAGGAGACCACAAAAGGGCGUGAGAACUACUAAUAGCAGUUCCCAGUGGGUACGGUCGGCGACGACAACGACCUUCCCACUAGGUCUAAAAGCAAAAGUAACUAAAAGAGCGGUAACUAGGAAAAGAAAACAGAGUAACACUAAAUCGUAGUGCAAGGUAAGAACUCCACAUAUAGAGAAGUACACAGUAAACUGAAUGCAGAGGACUAACAAGAAUUCAACUAGUAUUAUAGAUAUUCACCGCAUAUAGUAAAUAUGAAAGCAAUGUACUGAUUACUAGUGAAAUCAUAGGAUAGAAUAUCAAUGCAGUUAUACAAUUAUAACUCUACAAAUCAAGUUAUCUUUGUUUGGCCAUUAGAAUAAGAAAAUAUAGUCCUGAAACCCAAUCACCAUGACCGACUCAUAGGUCCGGUCAAGCCUGCGCCUGCCUAGUGCGCGGACACACUCCCGCAGGUCUGACGGCGACCCCUAGGCUACUGUCUCAACUAUCACUGGCCAGCAUCCGGAGCGGCACUCGAGGGGAGAUGGCAUCUGCAGGCUAUAAUCUAUAAUCACGAGAAACUGCACCUACUAUAAUCAACUCAAAACGUCAAAAGAGCUAGUUACACCUAUCUUAACUCAAUAUCAAAUGCCCAAGAAGAAUAGGUGAUGCAUAAUGUGAUCAACGCAAGAGAGUAAUAACAAUCUGGUAGUAUCUUUCAAAUGCUAUAACGAGUCACAAUAGCUAGGCUUAUAUUCAUACUCAUGCUCUAAAUCAUGUCUUGAUACUGAAUUUCAUAUUCGCGCUUCAAUUUUCACACAAUGAGGACCAAUGAAAAGUAGACAUAUGUGCAAGUUUAGUUUCAUGUGAGGAUCGAUAAAAAGUAUUUAACUUGUGCCAAAAUAGACAUAAGAGGAAAUUCGCCGUUUUCGGCAACUCGGAACCCACCUCGACUUGCUAUGUCAACUCAGGUAAAAGGAAUGCUACACGCGACCCUUCUCACGAUUGCCCGAAAAUACUACACACGACGAAACAUUUCGAAUUACAAUCAACGAACUAAGAUUUCCAAUAGAGCUCAAUUCACGUAAUUUGAACAUCAAUACCUUAAAUUGCGCCUAAAUGGAAAUGUAUAGCACCCUAAUUCAUGCUCUCGGACACCCUGCGAGUAUCAAUUGCAAUUUAGAAAAGCGAAUUAUGCCAAUUGAAACACUCGAUCCACUUCAUUCUUCCCCUUCAUGCAUACUAUUCCCUUUCUUUUCUUUUCUUUCCAUCUCUUUCUCUCUUGAAUUCUCUCUUUCUUUCCUUCUCUUCUUUCUUUCUUCUUCUUCUUUCUUCUCUUCUUUUUCUUUCUUUUUUUCCUUGCUACCCCUGCAGCAGCAGCAAUUUGCUGCUGCUGCUGGGCAGCUUGCAGCAGCAGCUGCUGCUACUGCUGCUGCAGUACUUUACAGCAGCUUGCUGCUGCUGCUAAAGUACCCGCAGCAGCGGCAGGGCAGCAAAGCUGCAGCAGCAAGAAGAGAGGGGAAGGAAAGGAAGAAGAGAAGAAGAAGAGAAAAAGAAAGGGAAAAGGGAGGAAAGAAGAAUGGAAAGGGAGAAAGAAAAAAAAUACCUUCAAUCUUUUCUUCUUCUUCUUCUUCUACUACUUCUCUCUAUCUCUCUCUCUCUCUCAUUUCCUUUCUCUUCUUCUCCAGGCUGAGGAAAUGAGGGGAAAGGGAUAAGGAUGGAUUUAGUGGAAUUCCACUAAGUUGCCCAUUUGCAUCUUAGUCCAAAAUUUUUGCUAUUUGCAAUAUGGCCCUCAUAAUAAAAUGUUGGCCCAAAUCAUCCGUUUUCGCGUCAAUUUCACGCCAAAACGGUUUCACCUCAUUUCCACCCUCCUUCUCACACCUACACAGGUGACAAAAGUCCGUAUCUUACAUCCUCCCCUCCUUAAAAAAGUUUCGUCCUCGAAACAAACAAACUUACUCAGGAAGCUCAGAAAAUAAAAAGGGAUAGCGCUCCCGCAUCUUAUAUUCAAGUUCCCAUGUCGCCUCCCUUUCGUCAUGAUUGCUCCAAUGUAUCUUCACGUAGGGGAUGACUCGGUUUUGUAGCUUUUUCUCCUGGCGCGCUAGAAUUUGCAUCGGUCGCUCUUCAUAUUUCAAAUCCUCUGCUAAAUCCAAAGAAGAGUAAUCGAUCUGUCACGCCCCGAGACCGAUGCCAAUUUGGCCCGACCCGAGCACGUCAAACAGACGCCGAACGGACAGAGUUUUCCCUNGGGGAUGACUCGGUUUUGUAGCUUUUUCUCCUGGCGCGCUAGAAUUUGCAUCGGUCGCUCUUCAUAUUUCAAAUCCUCUGCUAAAUCCAAAGAAGAGUAAUCGAUCUGUCACGCCCCAAGACCGAUGCCAAUUUGGCCCGACCCGAGCACGUCAAACAGACGCCGAACGGACAGAGUUUUCCCUGUCCGCCCAAGGCUCAUCACACGUACAUUUUCAUCAAUAGAGAAAAGCACUAGCGGAAACAUACAUAAACGGCUUACACGAGGGUAAGCAAUAGCCAUUAGUGAAAGAAUAAGGAAACUAAACAUUCACAAGUAAUAUGAUUCAUUUUAGAUCAUAUACAUUGCAUUCAUCUAGUAAUUUAUCGAAUUCUUACAUUCAUUACAUCAUUUCAUCAUUUCUUUCUUACAUCACGUUUACCUCAAAAUAAGCUUUACAUUUUUUUUUUUUCCUUACAUCAUUUACCAUCAUGUACAAAAGAUGAUCAUAGGGUACUUUACUACGAAAUGAAAUCCAACUUUGGUGGCCUCUGACUAAGGCGCGAUACCUUUACCUCGGUCGCUCGCCGGCUCGCUCGGUCUCGGCUCUGUGGAAAUAGUGGGGUGAGAACUACAACAAAGUUCCCAGUGGGUUCGGCCUCAACAUCACCGACUUUCCCACUAGGACUAACUCAGGCAUAAUAGAAAGGAUAAGCAGGAUAUAGUAACCAAUCUAUAACAUGAUGCUAAUAUGCCUGAACAAAUAGCAAGAAGUAUGCUCAACAUUAAAUAUAUGCAAAUUAUGCAAACUCAUUAGUUCUUUGACUUUACUUUGUACUUUGUUCUUUAUUCUUUGCUCUUUGUUCUUUGUUCUUUAAUCUCAAGGCUAACCCGGAGGUUUCGCCACAUCAACUUGCUUCACAUUAAGUCCAUCAUCGCAGGAACUCACCAGCUAGGACCGUCCUUACGGGUCUACUCCAACCCGGAUGCAUAACUCCGGAGCGCAUCGCCCGAGGGGGAGCGACCGCCCUCGAGCACGGAACUCAUAGCAAGUAUGAUCAUAUCCUUAACUCAAAGAAUUUAUAAGUUCAAUCAUGACUUUACACUAGCUCUAGUGUUCUUUACAUCACUUUAUGUUGCAAACUCAUGCAAUUACAUUCUUUACAUUUCUUUACUCUUGCUAACUCUAGCAUUCUUGUUCUUUACAAUACUUGUUCUUAUUUGCCCCACUUUACUUUACUUUACACAUUGUCAUUUUCAUCAUUCUUUUCAUCACUUUGGUUCUUUGUAUCACACUAACUCUAGUGUUCUUUAUUUUACACUUUCAAAUGCCACUCGAUCUAUGUCAUGUGCCACUCGGUUCUUUUGCUCACUUUGGGUGCUCACAUUUUCUCUCAUGCAUACAUCUAGGGUUUUGACAUUAUUAGGUUCUCAACCAUCUCAUUAUGCAAGUUGUGCUCACAAUCAUGCAAUCAUCAUAUUUCAUCAUUACUUUCCCCUAAUAUGCAUGCAACAAUAUAUAGAACAUAUGCUCAAAGAAUGACACAUUAGGCAUAGAGAGAAUUUCAAUGAGGUUGAGAAGCACCACCCACCUCGUAGGCUUUCAAAGGUGCUCCGACAAUUUUCUUGGGAUUUUUAGAUGCUUCGUUCUUUACCUGCGGCAAAACGAACCCUUAUUAGGCCAUUCUGCUCAUAACUUUACUUUGACUUUUCGUAACGUUAAUCCGAGCGCACCAACGCGUCGGAAAUACCCCCAAUUAGGUUUCUAGAGGGUCAAUUGCACUUAGAAACCCUCAUGAGCAAAAGCCCCAAUUUGGUGCCCUAGCUUCAAUGUAUAUCAAAACCUAGGGUUUGAUCUCAAAGAAAAGCAAAAGUAGCUUCAUUACACUCUAAUUAGUCCAUUAGAACCAUUCUUAGGCUUUCCAAAACCCUAGUUUGGAUUUCACCAUGAGAGGUGGUCCAAGCUUACCUCUAUAGCAAAUCUAGGUUUUGAUCUCUUUAGAAGCAAAAGAAAGCUUCAAGACUCUUCAAAUACUUUCUUAAAACCAUUUCCAAGUUAAUCCAAACCCUAGUUUGGAAUUUAGCAUGAGAAGGGGCAAGGCUUACCUUUAAACUUGCUCCUUUUCCAAGCUAGAGAAGGAGAGGAGAGGUUUUCUUCACUUCCUCUUCUUCUUCUCCUUUUUCUUCUCCUUCUUUUCCCUCCUUUCCUUGUCUUCUUCUUCUCCUUCUUUGUCUUCUAGAGAGAGAGAAAGAGAGAAGAGGGUGUGAGAGGGAGUGGAAUGAGGGGAGAAGCCCCUUAGCCCACUAACAUAGCUCAAUGGGUUGCAAAAAUGCAAUAAAACCCCUCAACUUUCACUUUAAUGCACUGCCCGUACUGGGCAGUUCGCGCAGGCAGAGACCGGUCUCCCCGAGCAGGGACCGGUUCCCGAACGUCCACCCUGCGCAGCCAGAGUCGCUGCGCGCGAUGCGACCGGUCUCUCUCUGAUGGGACCGGUCUCUGGGGGAUCGGUCUCUCAGACAGAGACCGGUUCCCGAGAGCUAAUCUUCCAGGACUUAGCCGAUUUUUCGGCUGUCUCAUUUCAUACGCGUUCGGGGACCGGUCUCUCCCACUAGGGACCGGUCCCCGAGAGCUCAAAAUCUGCAGUUUUGUAGAAUUCGAUUCUUUAGCUCUCGAAAACCUUCCACAACUCGCUUUUACUCAUCUUAACACCUUCGAACUUUCCGAAGUGUACCAUCCUCGCACUUUGGUCAAUUUGACUAAAGUUCGAUAUUUAUUCUCCGAAUUUUCGGUAUAUUACACGAUCACAUGCGUAGGGUCGAAAACAUACUUCCUCAGGGUUGACACGUGAAAGACAUCGUGAACACCGGAAAGUCUAGGUGGCAAAGCAAUACGGUAGGCCACUGGUCCAAUUCGCUCCAAAAUCUCGAAAGGACCAAUAUAACGCGGGCUCAAUUUUCCUCGCAAUCCAAAUCGGUAUAUACCCUUUGACGGCGAAACCUUUAGAAAAACGUGAUCUCCCACCUGAAACUCAAGGUCUCGUCGUCGAGUAUCUGCAUAGCUCUUUUGUCGACUUUGAGCUGCCAAAAUAUGUUGUCGUGCCAGCUUUACCUUUUCUUCUGUUUCCAUCAAAAUGUCUGGGCCCAAAGUCUUUCGUUCACCCACGUCACUCCAAUAUAAGGGAGAUCGACAUCGACGUCCAUAUAAUGCUUCGAAUGGAGCCAUCUUGAUACUCGACUGAUAACUAUUAUUGUAUGCAAACUCCACCAAUGCCAAAUGUCGAUACCAUCCGCCUCCAAAAUCAAGAACACAGGCCCUCAACAUGUCUUCAAGUAUUUGGAUUGUCCUCUCGAUCUGGCCAUCAGUCUGUGGGUGAAACGCAGUGCUGAAGUGGAGCUGAGUCCCCAAGGCGGUCUGUAGACUUUUCCAAAAGUGUGACACUGUCACGCCCCGGGACCUAGCGGAAGCCCGCCCGGCACGUGCCCAGACCCGCCAUACGUCUAAAACAUAUAAGGCGUCUAAAAACAACAAUAAUAAAAGCAAUAAUAAAAGGCAUCUAGGAGUAUCAGAGCAUAAUAAAUAUCUAAAUACAACAACAAGGGAUAAGGAUAAACUGUAAAUCCGCUAAAUAAAACAUAAAGGUGAUACAAGGAGAUCCCAGAUACAAGUGCUAUAGGUAGAUACAUAGGUGGUCUCUAUACAUGGAUAUAAAAACCUCUCACUCUCUCAACUACAAAGGAAAGAGUAAACCACCUAGGCAAAGUACCGCUCCUCGCUAGCUAGCUAAGCGAUCCCCUUGCCGCGAUCCCGUGCCUCCGCCGGUGCCGAAGGCUCUGAAAAGUAAACCAUAAAACAGGGGCGUGAGAACUAUUAAAAAUAGUUCCCAGUGGGCAAUUACUGACUUCAGUGAAUGCACCACAAGGCCCAAAGCUACAAAAGAUGUCAGUGACUAUAAAAGUAGAAAGCGAAAGGUAAGUAAAAAUGUAACUUACUACAACAUGAUAUCUCUACUUAGCAUAAAUAGCAUAAGUAUGAAAGCAACUAUGCAUGAAGUAAAAGUCUCCAACUAUCAUAAUGUUCACAAUGCGAAAUAGUAAAGUUCCGUUGUUUACUAUUCUAGUCAAUGUCCAAGUAGUACACUAAGUCAUCAUCUGUCCACAUGUCAUAAUGAAUACUCAAAGUCAAAUCUGAAGAGACCCACCCGAAGGCUGUCUAUGGCCCUGAGACCCACCCGUAGGCUGUCUGGCCGGUGCCGAGCCUAAUGGCCCCGUGGUAGUCAUCAUCCCCACCCUAGGAAUGAGCCUGGCCCACGGCAAUCCACUUCGGCGCCUAAUCCCGCACGGCGAAUAUGAAUCGCGAUGGCUAUCUCCGGAGUGCCGGCUUGUAGGGAGCGACCCUCACAAGCAUGUGCGAAUGAGCACAAUGGCAAGUAGUCAAACGAUCUGUCACAAGUACCAAGUCCUCAUGUCUAAUAACAUGGAAUAUAUGUCACCAAUCUCAUAGGCCUAUCCCUUAUGUCAUCAUGUCUCUAACAUGGAAUAUAGCAGAUGUGUAGUGGCCUAUCAAUAUGUCUCUAUAUUGCAGUUUCAUAAUUCUCUCGGCCAAGUGCCUCUUUAUAACACUAUGGCUCAUUUUGUCCCAACAUGGAUACUAAGUUCAAGCACUUGUAAUUCUAGUCAAAAUCGAAGCAAGAAACUUGAUUUCCUACCAUCUCAUAGAAUGUUCGCCGCAUGCAUGUUAACAAAGCACAUUGUCUCUCUCUACUAUAUAGAGUAAAUUUUCUUGAUGCAUAACAUAUGAGUUCUAAGCAUUCCAAAAAUUCUCAUAAAUGCUACUAAACAUGAAUAUGCAUGAACUUAUGGUAAGUGAAAGCAUUUAACCGCAUAGGAGGAAUUUCCUCCCAUUUCAAAGAAGCCAAACCCACCGAUGACAACGAAACUCCUCGUUUGCUCCAACGAGGGCGUCCACCACACUCCUAGUACCCUAAAGGUACAAAAACAUGUGUCAUCUAGUCGAAACGAAUGUCGCUAAGAUCAAUCAAUAAGCUAUUCAAGCAUAGGUGAGGAAAACUCACCUCCAAAGCAAAGAUCUCCUCUAAAGCUCCAAAAGAGAGCUAGAAUCCUUCCAAUCCAAGUCAAAGGAAGAUUCUAAUCCACUCAAUCUAGCUUCAAAAGCCCUAGAUUCAAAAUGCCCAAAUUAAACCCUAAAAAACCUCAUUCUAGGGUUUCAACACAAAGAAGCCAAUAAAAAUCUAAUCUAGAGGGAGAUAACAAGUUGCUUACCUCUUAGAAGCUUCAAACCAAGCUCUAAAUGCUCUAAGUCCAAAGAGCUCACCUCAAUCAAGCCUCAAACCCAAGCUCCUAGCUCCAACAAUGGGGGAGAAGUCUCUAGCCAAGCAAAAAGGGAGUUUAAUCUCUUAAAACCCCAACCAAAAUCAAAGAAAUCACAAAGGAAGGUGUGGAGGGCUUCCUCACCUUUCUCCCUGCAGGUUCCAAGCUCAGGGGAUACCCUAGGGGCGUCGGGUUACUAAUAGAAGGCUACAAACGCGAAAAACCCCCUGCAGUUCCAUUCUGUGCAAAACUGCCUCCUUGUACCGGUACACGGGCUCUUGUACCGGUACAAGGCCGACGAAAUUACAAACCCGAGGCUCGGGUUGCUGGGUCUGCGGCUCUGUACCGGUACAAGCCCGAUGGCUGUACCGGUACAACCAUCAACCUUGUACCGGUACGAGACCAACCUUGUUCCGGUACAAGCUCUGCUGCAGGCUACCCGAGAGCUGACCAAGAUACAAUCAUUUUGGGCUUUGGUGCAAGGCUUAAACCACAAUUCUCGGGACUCGAACCAUAGGUCGGAACACUGUGAACGACCCACCAGAAAGUCUGAAAAAGUUCAGAACAUAGUCAAUCACUCGAACCCCACAAUUUGUGAGGUCCAGUGCGUCACAGACACAAACCUCGUGUCUCUAUUAGAUACAAUCGAAGUCGGUACUCCAUGGAGUCUCACUAUCUCAUCAAUAUAUAUCUGAGCGAGUCUCUCCCUAGAACAAGUCCUGUGAACUGGAAUACAAUGUACCGAUUUCGUCAAUCUAUCAACUAUUACCAAAUAGCAUCAUGUCCGCCCUGUGAGCGUGGCAAUCCUAGCACAAAAUCCAUAGUAAUCAUAUCCCACUUCCAAAUAGGGAUUGGGAGAUUCUGAAGUUUGCCUGCAGGAAGUCGAUGUUCUGCCUUUACUUGCUGGCAAGUCAAACAUUGUGCUACAUAUCUUCCAAUAUCCCUCUUCAUUCCUGGCCACCAAUAAUGUGUUUUCAAAUCACGAUACAUUUUUGUUCCUCCAGGAUGAACUGCGUAAGGAGAGCUAUGCGCCUCUUUCAAAAUCUCUUCACGGAGUGCCGCAUCUCCAGGUACAUACAAGCGAUCACGAAAUCGAAGAAUCCCUGAGGUAUCAACACUAUACCCCCUGCCUGACCAGCCUCAAAAGUUGAUCUAAUUUUUGCUAGUUGUGAGUCUUCACUCUGCUUCUUCCUAAUCUUAUCCAUUAAAGUGGGCUGCAAGACCAAGGACAUAAGUCUAGCCGAGAUCCCUGGGGCUACAACCUCUAGCUCUAGUCGUCGCAUCUUCUCUAAUAGCGGCGCUUGCUUGGUAAUCAACAAACUCAGGUUCUCCACAGCUUUGCGACUCAAGGCAUCUGCAACCACGUUGGCCUUUCCAGGGUGAUAGAGGAUAGUUACAUCAUAAUCUUUUAACAACUCUAGCCAACGACGCUGUCUCAGAUUUAAUUCUUUCUAAGUGAAUAAGUACUUGAGACUCUUGUGGUCAGUGUAAAUUUCACAAUGCUCUCCAUAUAAAUAAUGACGCCACAUUUUCAACGCAAACACCACAGCAGCGAGCUCCAAAUCAUGAGUAGGAUAGUUUUUUUCAUAUUCCUUUAGUUGUCGUGAAGCAUAAGCAAUUACCUUGCCAUGCUGCAUCAAUACACAACCUAACCCAUUGCGCAAGGCGUCACUAUAAAUUACGAAUCCUUCCCCCAUUAUAGGGAGGGCAAGAAUCAGGGCUGUCAUCAACCUAGUCUUCAGCUCUUCAAAGCUCCUUUGACAUUCCUCACUCCAUAUAAACUUAAAUCCCUUUCGGGUCAAACGUGUGAGAGGAGCGAAAAGCUUCGCAAAGCCCUCCACAAAUCGACGGUAGUAGCCGGCCAGUCCAAGAAAGCUCCGCACCUCUGUAACUGUCGUUGGUCUGGGCCAAUCCUGAAUAGCUUCAACCUUCAUCGGGUCAACUGCAAUACCCGUUGCGGAGAUCACAUGGCCCAAAAAGGCUACUUCUUGAAGCUAAAAUUCACAUUUUUUCAAUUUUGCAUACAACUUCUUUUCUUGCAAAAUCUGGAGGACAAGCCUUAAAUGCUUCUCGUGUUCAACAUCACUUCGAGAAUAUAUCAGAAUAUCAUCAAUAAAGACCACCACAAAUUGAUCCAAAAAUGGUUUAAACACUCUAUUCAUCAAAUCUAUAAAUGCAACGGGGGCAUUCGUCAAGCCAAAUGGCAUCAUAGUGAACUCAUAGUGCCCAUAGCGCGUCCUAAAGGCUAUCUUCGGUACAUCCUCUAUCUUUAUCUUCAAUUGGUGGUAUCCAGAUUGCAGAUCAAUUUUAGAGAAAACGCAGGCUCCUUACAACUGAUCAAAAAGGUCAUCGAUCCGUGGCAACGGAUACUUAUUCUUGAUAGUCACUUUAUUCAGCUCUCUGUAGUCUACACACAGUCGAAGUGAACCAUCCUUCUUCUUUACAAAUAGUACCGGUGCUCCCCAGGGUGACACGCUCGGUCGCACAAAUCCUUUAUCCAUUAGAUCCAACAACUGUGCUUUUAGUUCUCGCAGCUCAGCCGGUGCCAUCCUAUAAGGUGCUUUCGAGAUUGGCGUAGUUCCUGGUACUAUGUCAAUCACAAAUUCUAUCUCCCGAUCCGGUGGCAUACCCGGUAGCUCCAGCGGAAAAACAUCUGGAAACUCCCGGACUACCGAGAUGUCCUCAAGCCUCGAUACAGCAGUAGGCACCUCCACCACAGUUGCCAAAAAGGCCACACACCCACGACUCAUCAUCUAUCUCGCCCGAGAAGUGGGGACCGUCGUGGCAAAAAUAGUACUCUGACAACCCUUAUACACAAACUUCUCCUGUCCUGGCUCGCGAAAAACUACAGUUCUCGCCCCGCAAUCAAUAGUCGCAUAAUAGCGAGUGAGCCAAUCCAUCCCUAACACAACAUCAAAAUCCCGUAGCUGUUUUAGGACCAAAAGGUCCGCAGGCAUAAUCCAGCGAUCUAACUGAACUGGGCAAGAUCGACAACACUCAUCGACAUACAAUGUAUGCUCAGGAAUAUGUACUUCACAUGAAAGUGUCAACAACUCAUACUCCAACCCAUGCAAUAGUGCAAACGCUCGACUCACAAAAGAAUGUGAUGCACCAGUGUCAAAUAAAGUACGAGCUCUAAUCCUAAAAAUCAAAGUAAUACCUGCAACCACCGUAUCCGCCGCAGAUGAAUCCUCAACCUGUGCUGCAUAAACUCGUCCACUCGAUGCUGGCGGCUGUCUCUCCACUGGGCGUAAAGCUGGAGCUCGAUCUGAUGUAAAAGUGGGUGGAACUCCUGCCAUCUGACGAGAUGCCGAAGGGGAAGAAGCUGUCGACGGGGCAGGUGAAGCUCGUCGAGGGCAAGUGGCCCAUUGAUGUCCUACCUGGCCGCAACGAUAGCAUCGGCCAUCCCGCUGAGCACAAGUUUGCGGCUGGUGCUGACCUCCGCAAAUCACACAUCGUAUCUGGCCCUGUCGCUAUCGCUGCUGCCUAGCACCACCUGGUGACCUAAUACUACCAGGUCUCCGUCCCGCAAAGGAUCCACGACCCUGAAAACGAGAUCGUGGAUACCUCGGCGGUCUCCCUGAGCUGGAGGGUCCAGCCUCGGACUCCGUAGACCUCUUCCUAUCACUACUUUGCUCCAUUUCAGCCCUUUCUCGCAGCACUACCUCACCUCGCUCUGCGCGCAUAGCCAUCUCGACCGAUGCCUCCAAUGUCGAGAGAUGCUGAAUCUGCACCAACUUAUAAAGCUCGGGGCUUAAUCCCUUCUCAAACAUAUCUGCCCUGUGUCGGUCAUUCCUCGCAACGAACGGCACGCAUGUCAACAAGCGGCUAAAUUCCUGAAAGUACUCCUGCACUGAGUGACUCCCUUGUCUCAGCUUCUUUAAUUCAUCCUCCAUUCUUUCCUUCACACUACUAGGAAAGUACAUGUCAAAGAGCAUGCCCCGAAACUCCGUCCAAGUCACCGGUGGCGCAUCCUUAGGCCUAGACCUCCGAGCCCUCGUCCACCAAUCACGAGCGUCUCCCUCAAGGCAAUGAACUGCUAAGUAUAUCUGAUCUCUCUCGGGAAUAAACAAAUCCUCAAAUAGUCGCUCCAUCCCCUUUACCCAAGCCUCCACCGUUCCUGGUUCGGUGCUCGACUCACAGAAAUGAGGUGGGUCGAACCUCCUAUACUCCACCAACCUCAUCCGAAUUCGCUCCUGCUCUGCCUUGGAAACCUCUCGCAUGACUGCGAAUACAUCAGGAGCAGUAGUAGGUGCUACAGUAACAGUCUCAGGCGGUGCAGUCUGCAUAGUCGAUGGAGUAGAAGUGGUCCUUAUCGGGGAAGUGGGAACUGUUGGUAUAGUAGUCUGACCAGUCGACUGGGGUGCGGGCUGCUCUGGGACACGUGGGGCGGUACCCGUCUACUGAGCCCACAUGUCGCAUAACCUCUGAAUAUACUUUCCCUGCAGCCUCGUAGUCUCAGUCAAGCUUGCUACCUGCUCUCGCAACCCCUGGCUUUCACUGGGUCCCGCCUGAUCGAGCGUCUCAGGCGGUGGUAGGUGGGUCGGUGUCGAUGGUCGCUCACGGGAGCGUUCACCCGAUGCCGACAAUGGAGGUCGUCCACGUCGAGGCAUAGUGCUCACCUAUAAAACACAAGAAAAUAGAAAAGGGUUGGUAAGCGACAUAGUUACAAGGAACUCGACCCAAUCACGCAAAAGUCCAGAAGAAACUACCCUAGUUCCUGUCAUAUUAUGUUGUCUGCAGCCAACAUAAUAAUUCAGGAGAAAACGGUACAUCUCUUCACUCACUCUUUAAUUCCCGUUAAAAGAGUAUACACUAAUCCAAUGACUUUUGCCAACAUAUCACGUCUCUCACGUCUUAAGUCCUAGAGUUCACCAAAGCCUAUAGUUCCUAGGUCCACACGACCUAUUCCAGUGCUCUGAUACCACCCAAAGCUGUCACGCCCCGAGUUCGCAACGGAAGACUACGGGACGCUAACAGACCCGCCGAACGGACAGAGUUUCCUCUGUCCGAACGAAGUGGCAAAAAUAUCAAAUAGUUUUCGAGAGUUACAAGAAACCAUCGGGCACAAUACAAGUAUUAAAAGGAGUCAUGAAAAGCCAAAAGACGAGUAGCAUAGCACUAUCCAUAAGCUGAACCACCGAACAACAAGAAACUAGUAGUAAGAUACAUAAAUUCACACCCAAAUUCAAGUACAAGCAAAUGGCCCCGGCCUGCGCCAGUCCAAAGAAAAGUACGAUGGCUCACUAUCUGGAAGUCUGCUACAGAUAAGUAUACUGGUAGGGUGGCUAACUAGGCGCAAUCCCCUUACCUCGCUCAACUGAUGGUGCACCUAUCCCUGAAAAAGGAGACCACAAAAGGGCGUGAGAACUACUAAUAGCAGUUCCCAGUGGGUACGGUCGGCGACGACAACGACCUUCCCACUAGGUCUAAAAGCAAAAGUAACUAAAAGAGCGGUAACUAGGAAAAGAAAACAGAGUAACACUGAAUCGUAGUGCAAGGUAAGAACUCCACAUAUAGAGAAGUACACAGUAAACUAAAUGCAGAGGACUAACAAGAAUUCAAGUAGUAUUAUAGAUAUUCACCGCAUAUAGUAAAUAUGAAAGCAAUGUACUGAUUACUAGUGAAAUCAUCGGAUAGAAUAUCAAUGUAGUUAUACAAUUAUAACUCUACAAAUCAAGUUAUCUUUAUUUGGCCAUUAGAAUAAGGAAAUAUAGUCCUGAAACCCAAUCACCAUGACCGACUCAUAGGUCCGGUCAAGCCUGCGCCUGCCUAGUGCUCGGACACACUCCCGCAGGUGUGACGGCGACCCCUAGGCUACUGUCUCAACUAUCACUGGCCAGCAUUCGGAGCGGCACUCGAGGGGAGCGACCCCUACCGAGUAUCAUAUCACAAACAUAUAUCAACUCAAGAUGGCAUCUGCAGGCUAUAAUCUAUAAUCACAAGAAACUGCACCUACUAUAAUCAACUCAAAAUGUCAAAAGAGCUAGUUACAACUAUCUUAACUCAAUAUCAAAUGCCCAAGAAGAAUAGGUGAUGCAUAAUGUGAUCAACGCAAGAGAGUAAUAACAAUCAGGUAGUCUCUUUCAAAUGCUAUAACGAGUCACAAUAGCUAGGCUUAUAUUCAUACUCAUGCUGUAAAUCAUGUCUGGAUACUGAAUUUCAUAUUCGCGCUUCAAUUUUCACACAAUGAGGACCAAUGGAAAGUAGACAUAUGUGCAAGUUUAGUUUCAUGCGAGGAUCGAUAAAAAGUAUUUAACUUGUGCCAAAAUAGACAUAAGAGGAAAUUCGCCGUUUUCGGCAACUCGGAACCCACCUCAACUCGCUAUGUCGACUCAGGUAAAAGAAAUGCUACACGCGACCCUUCUCA
This 14019-nucleotide long non-coding RNA is filed under the name Ananas comosus (pineapple). RNAcentral's name for it is "long non-coding RNA (ACOM_LNC014959)". Lineage: Eukaryota; Viridiplantae; Streptophyta; Magnoliopsida; Poales; Bromeliaceae. The record is from RNAcentral.